This 609-nucleotide long non-coding RNA is filed under the name Salvator merianae (Argentine black and white tegu). RNAcentral's name for it is "lncRNA (ENSSMRG00000016630.1)". Lineage: Eukaryota; Metazoa; Chordata; Lepidosauria; Squamata; Teiidae. The record is from RNAcentral.
AGCGAGAGGGGCGGCGGCAGGGGGGGGGGUUCCGCCUCUUCUCCUUCAGUAUUAAUGUCGCAUCGACGGAACUGAGGCUCCCUGAUUAAUCUUGCUCACAUACCUACAAAGGCACGCACGUUAGGGCGCGUGGACCAGUCAGACGGCCGUGCUGCCGUUGCCGCCGCCGCCGCCGCCGCUCUUGGCGCGCACACGGAUCGCACACGCCGCCGCCACCGCCGCUGAAGUGCUUCCUUCUCCCACAUCCCAGGAUUAGCCGCCUGCGCCGCCGCCUCUGCCUCUCUCUUGCAUCCUCCCCCCCCUCGUCAUGUUUUGACUUCUGCCUUGCCUUGGGUGCUUCUGGGCUCCGAUUUGCUUGCCUGCUUCUCGUCUCCACGGGGAAGGGGCCGAAAGAAAGAGAAUUAAUGGAUUAAUAAAUGAAUUUACUUAUACAGAAAAGAAACCCAUGAUGCUAGUGUAAGAUAACAUAAGUAUUUGAAACAACUCAUGAUCAGUGGACUUCUAAGCUGUGUGGAUGCAGGUGAGGGGGUCAAAGAGAUGGAGCCAGAGGAGGUCAAAGGGGCAGAGUCAGAGGGGUCAAAGACACAGAACCAAACACCAUGUGAACAA